AUUGAACGCUGGCGGCAGGCCUAACACAUGCAAGUCGAACGGUAACAGGAAGAAGCUUGCUUCUUUGCUGACGAGUGGCGGACGGGUGAGUAAUGUCUGGGCAACUGCCUGAUGGAGGGGGAUAACUACUGGAAACGGUAGCUAAUACCGCAUAACGUCGCAAGACCAAAGAGGGGGACCUUCGGGCCUCUUGCCAUCGGAUGUGCCCAGAUGGGAUUAGCUAGUAGGUGGGGUAACGGCUCACCUAGGCGACGAUCUCUAGCUGGUCUGAGAGGAUGACCAGCCACACUGGAACUGAGACACGGUCCAGACUCCUACGGGAGGCAGCAGUGGGGAAUAUUGCACAAUGGGCGCAAGCCUGAUGCAGCCAUGCCGCGUGUAUGAAGAAGGCCUUCGGGUUGUAAAGUACUUUCAGCGGGGAGGAAGGGAGUAAAGUUGAUACCUUUGCUCAUUGACGUUACCCGCAGAAGAAGCACCGGCUAACUCCGUG
This 490-nucleotide ribosomal RNA is filed under the name uncultured bacterium. Its description in RNAcentral is "partial 16S ribosomal RNA". It matches the Rfam family "Bacterial small subunit ribosomal RNA", at positions 30 to 507 of the family's 1533-position model. The record is from RNAcentral.